RNAcentral lists this unclassified non-coding RNA (212 nucleotides) under Hevea brasiliensis (rubber tree). Lineage: Eukaryota; Viridiplantae; Streptophyta; Magnoliopsida; Malpighiales; Euphorbiaceae. The record is from RNAcentral.
GUAAUGCUGCAUAAACAGAUUCUAAAAGGUCCUGCACCAAAAUCAUUUGUAUUGCCAACAAAUAAACUAAGCAAAUACUACAUUUCUACACCUUUGGGCAACAAAAGACAGUUUUAAGUCUAAUGAAGUUAAAACCAUUGUUGAACACAUACCCCGUGCAACAACUAUUUGAAAUAAUAGUUGCAUUUGUACAUACCGGGCCAAAAGAUUUU